GAGCAAGAACUACCGCUCUUCCUAAGUCAUCAGCCCCAUCUGCUCCAGUUCCUGAGGCAGGCAGAAAGAAGCAACAAUCCUCAAGUGAGCUUCUGUUUUUCUUCAUCAAACUGUUACCUUUCUCCUUUAUCUAAUUGUCUCCUUUACCGGCGAACAGGACCCCAAGCAUCUAAAAAACCGAUCCUUGCUUCUAAGGAGGAACCACUGAGAGCUGCAAUGCUCAAAAAGGCCGAAGAACUGCAAAAUACUGCCCUCAGAGAACUUGAGGUAUGA
RNAcentral lists this small RNA (273 nucleotides) under Malus domestica (apple). RNAcentral's name for it is "sRNA MD13G0158600". The record is from RNAcentral. Lineage: Eukaryota; Viridiplantae; Streptophyta; Magnoliopsida; Rosales; Rosaceae.